RNAcentral lists this ribosomal RNA (1373 nucleotides) under Lactiplantibacillus plantarum. Its description in RNAcentral is "bacterial SSU rRNA". It matches the Rfam family "Bacterial small subunit ribosomal RNA", at positions 94 to 1443 of the family's 1533-position model. Lineage: Bacteria; Bacillati; Bacillota; Bacilli; Lactobacillales; Lactobacillaceae. The record is from RNAcentral.
AGUGGCGAACUGGUGAGUAACACGUGGGAAACCUGCCCAGAAGCGGGGGAUAACACCUGGAAACAGAUGCUAAUACCGCAUAACAACUUGGACCGCAUGGUCCGAGCUUGAAAGAUGGCUUCGGCUAUCACUUUUGGAUGGUCCCGCGGCGUAUUAGCUAGAUGGUGGGGUAACGGCUCACCAUGGCAAUGAUACGUAGCCGACCUGAGAGGGUAAUCGGCCACAUUGGGACUGAGACACGGCCCAAACUCCUACGGGAGGCAGCAGUAGGGAAUCUUCCACAAUGGACGAAAGUCUGAUGGAGCAACGCCGCGUGAGUGAAGAAGGGUUUCGGCUCGUAAAACUCUGUUGUUAAAGAAGAACAUAUCUGAGAGUAACUGUUCAGGUAUUGACGGUAUUUAACCAGAAAGCCACGGCUAACUACGUGCCAGCAGCCGCGGUAAUACGUAGGUGGCAAGCGUUGUCCGGAUUUAUUGGGCGUAAAGCGAGCGCAGGCGGUUUUUUAAGUCUGAUGUGAAAGCCUUCGGCUCAACCGAAGAAGUGCAUCGGAAACUGGGAAACUUGAGUGCAGAAGAGGACAGUGGAACUCCAUGUGUAGCGGUGAAAUGCGUAGAUAUAUGGAAGAACACCAGUGGCGAAGGCGGCUGUCUGGUCUGUAACUGACGCUGACGCUGAGGCUCGAAAGUAUGGGUAGCAAACGGAUUAGAUACCUGGUAGUCCAUAGUCCAUACCGUAAACGAUGAAUGCUAAGUGUUGGAGGGUUUCCGCCCUUCAGUGCUGCAGCUAACGCAUUAAGCAUUCCGCCUGGGGAGUACGGCCGCAAGGCUGAAACUCAAAGGAAUUGACGGGGGCCCGCACAAGCGGUGGAGCAUGUGGUUUAAUUCGAAGCUACGCGAAGAACCUUACCAGGUCUUGACAUACUAUGCAAAUCUAAGAGAUUAGACGUUCCCUUCGGGGACAUGGAUACAGGUGGUGCAUGGUUGUCGUCAGCUCGUGUCGUGAGAUGUUGGGUUAAGUCCCGCAACGAGCGCAACCCUUAUUAUCAGUUGCCAGCAUUAAGUUGGGCACUCUGGUGAGACUGCCGGUGACAAACCGGAGGAAGGUGGGGAUGACGUCAAAUCAUCAUGCCCCUUAUGACCUGGGCUACACACGUGCUACAAUGGAUGGUACAACGAGUUGCGAACUCGCGAGAGUAAGCUAAUCUCUUAAAGCCAUUCUCAGUUCGGAUUGUAGGCUGCAACUCGCCUACAUGAAGUCGGAAUCGCUAGUAAUCGCGGAUCAGCAUGCCGCGGUGAAUACGUUCCCGGGCCUUGUACACACCGCCCGUCACACCAUGAGAGUUUGUAACACCCAAAGUCGGUGGGGUAACCUUU